Molecule: ribosomal RNA, 251 nt
Filed under: uncultured bacterium
Lineage: Bacteria
Description: partial 16S ribosomal RNA
Rfam family: Bacterial small subunit ribosomal RNA
Source: RNAcentral
UACGUAGGGGGCGAGCGUUGUCCGGAGUUACUGGGCGUAAAGGGCGUGCAGGCGGUGCGGUAAGUUUAGCGUGACAGUCUCCGGCUUAACUGGAGAAGGCCGCUGAAAACUGCUGGACUUGAGGGCCAGAGAGGGACAUAGAAUUCCGGGUGGAGUGGUGAAAUGCGUAGAUAUCCGGAGGAAUACCAAGGCGAAGGCAGUGCCUGGCUGGCAACUGACGCUGAGGCGCGAAAGCUAGGGGAGCGAGCAGG